RNAcentral lists this ribosomal RNA (465 nucleotides) under Vreelandella stevensii. RNAcentral describes it as "partial 16S ribosomal RNA". It matches the Rfam family "Bacterial small subunit ribosomal RNA", at positions 338 to 795 of the family's 1533-position model. Lineage: Bacteria; Pseudomonadati; Pseudomonadota; Gammaproteobacteria; Oceanospirillales; Halomonadaceae. The record is from RNAcentral.
CCUACGGGGGGCAGCAGUGGGGAAUAUUGCACAAUGGGCGAAAGCCUGAUCCAGCCAUGCCGCGUGUGUGAAGAAGGCCUUCGGGUUGUAAAGCACUUUCAGUGGGGAAGAAAGCCUUGGGGCUAAUACCCUCGAGGAAGGACAUCACCCACAGAAGAAGCACCGGCUAACUCCGUGCCAGCAGCCGCGGUAAUACGGAGGGUGCGAGCGUUAAUCGGAAUUACUGGGCGUAAAGCGCGCGUAGGCGGUCUGAUAAGCCGGUUGUGAAAGCCCCGGGCUCAACCUGGGAACGGCAUCCGGAACUGUCAGGCUAGAGUGCAGGAGAGGAAGGUAGAAUUCCCGGUGUAGCGGUGAAAUGCGUAGAGAUCGGGAGGAAUACCAGUGGCGAAGGCGGCCUUCUGGACUGACACUGACGCUGAGGUGCGAAAGCGUGGGUAGCAAACAGGAUUAGAUACCCGUGUAGUC